AUUGAACGCUGGCGGCGUGCUUAACACAUGCCAGUCGAACGGCAGCGCGGGCUUCGGCCUGGCUGCGGGUGGCGAACGGACGGGUAAUUCAUCCGAACGUGCCCUGUCUUGGGGGAGAGGCCGGCUAAAGCCGGAUUUAUCCAGCAUCCGACCUGAGUAGGAAAUCCGGGGUCCCUAAGUCCACGGGCCAUUUGCACGGCCGACGUCGGGUUAGCCAGUUGGUUGGGUAAUGGAUUACCAAGGCGACGAUCCGUGGCUGGUCUGAGAGGACGACCAGCCACACUGGGACUGAGACACGGCCCAGACUCCUACGGGAGGAAGCAGUGGGGAAUUUUGGAAAAUGGGGGAAAGCCUGAUCCAGCAAUGCCGCGUGGGGGAGGAAGGCCUUCGGGUGGUAAACCGCUUUUGUUCGGGAAGAAAUCCUUUGGGCUAAUACCCCGGGGGGAUGACGGUACCGGAAGAAUAAGCACCGGCUAACUACGUG
This 484-nucleotide ribosomal RNA is filed under the name uncultured bacterium. Its description in RNAcentral is "partial 16S ribosomal RNA". It matches the Rfam family "Bacterial small subunit ribosomal RNA", at positions 28 to 507 of the family's 1533-position model. The record is from RNAcentral.